This is a long non-coding RNA of Bombyx mori (domestic silkworm), 642 nucleotides long. RefSeq lists it as uncharacterized. The transcript is spliced from 4 exons. NCBI's taxonomy places the organism in Eukaryota, Metazoa, Arthropoda, Insecta, Lepidoptera, Bombycidae. The record is from RefSeq and is a predicted model, not a curated record.
CAAAAAAUAAAUCCAUUAACACACUUCCUAACCUUUUUGCAUGGCUGACGCACAAACCGUGCAGACCAAGAAAUGGGAGAAAAAAAAAAACACAUUUUACUAAAACUUUUUCUGAAGAAUAUAAAUACUUUUGAGAAAUUUAUCAAAAAUGCGACCAGAAGAGAUUGAGAGCAUAUCAAAGCGGUUAGAAAAUGGUGAAAUUUCGGAAGACAAUUCUACCGACAAUGAAGAUGACAUAAACUAUUAUUCGAGCCAAAGAGAUCGUCUGAUGGAGCUAGAAGAUGAAGAGGAUAUAGUGUAUAGGGGAAGUCCGGGCAUAGUGGAUAGGCCAGGCAAAGUGAAUACGCUUUAUUUUUCGUCAAGAACAUAUCGAAACACGCCCGCCUCGCGACAUUACAUUGCCCCGCCCGUCCGCAUUCGUGGGCAAACAGAGCUAGCGGAGGGUUGCGUCGCGAUCGAGAGAAAAAUCGAAACUAAAUAGUGAAGUUUUCUUAUUACUUUUCAAGAUGGUAUAUAGAUUAAAUACAAGAAGAAAUAUCAACCAAGUCCAUUGGGGUGAGAACAAUAUGAUGCUUGCGAUAGCAGAUUCUGUCAUUCCUGUGAAAACGAUCGCAAAAAAGUAUGUUCUAUCUUAAGCCGCUC